CUGAUUGAUGGUGCUUGCACCUGAUUGACGAUGGAUCACCAGUGAGUGGCGGACGGGUGAGUAACACGUAGGUAACCUGCCCCGGAGCGGGGGAUAACAUUUGGAAACAGAUGCUAAUACCGCAUAACAACAAAAGCUGCAUGGCUUUUGUUUGAAAGAUGGCUUUGGCUAUCACUCUGGGAUGGACCUGCGGUGCAUUAGCUAGUUGGUAAGGUAACGGCUUACCAAGGCGAUGAUGCAUAGCCGAGUUGAGAGACUGAUCGGCCACAAUGGAACUGAGACACGGUCCAUACUCCUACGGGAGGCAGCAGUAGGGAAUCUUCCACAAUGGGCGCAAGCCUGAUGGAGCAACACCGCGUGAGUGAAGAAGGGUUUCGGCUCGUAAAGCUCUGUUGUUGGAGAAGAACGUGCGUGAGAGUAACUGUUCACGCAGUGACGGUAUCCAACCAGAAAGUCACGGCUAACUACGUGCCAGCAGCCGCGGUAAUACGUAGGUGGCAAGCGUUAUCCGGAUUUAUUGGGCGUAAAGCGAGCGCAGGCGGUUGCUUAGGUCUGAUGUGAAAGCCUUCGGCUUAACCGAAGAAGUGCAUCGGAAACCGGGCGACUUGAGUGCAGAAGAGGACAGUGGAACUCCAUGUGUAGCGGUGGAAUGCGUAGAUAUAUGGAAGAACACCAGUGGCGAAGGCGGCUGUCUGGUCUGCAACUGACGCUGAGGCUCGAAAGCAUGGGUAGCGA
RNAcentral lists this ribosomal RNA (735 nucleotides) under Limosilactobacillus reuteri. RNAcentral describes it as "bacterial SSU rRNA". It matches the Rfam family "Bacterial small subunit ribosomal RNA", at positions 63 to 771 of the family's 1533-position model. Lineage: Bacteria; Bacillati; Bacillota; Bacilli; Lactobacillales; Lactobacillaceae. The record is from RNAcentral.